GUUUCCGUAGUGUACUGGUUAUCACAUUCAUCUCACACGCGAAAGGUCCCCGGUUCGAUCCCGGGCGAAAACA
RNAcentral lists this transfer RNA (73 nucleotides) under Macaca mulatta (Rhesus monkey). Its description in RNAcentral is "tRNA-Val (CAC) (tRNA-Val-CAC-4-1)". The record is from RNAcentral. Lineage: Eukaryota; Metazoa; Chordata; Mammalia; Primates; Cercopithecidae.